Molecule: ribosomal RNA, 2903 nt
Filed under: Klebsiella pneumoniae
Lineage: Bacteria; Pseudomonadati; Pseudomonadota; Gammaproteobacteria; Enterobacterales; Enterobacteriaceae
Description: 23S ribosomal RNA
Rfam family: Bacterial large subunit ribosomal RNA
Source: RNAcentral
GGUUAAGCGACUAAGCGUACACGGUGGAUGCCCUGGCAGUCAGAGGCGAUGAAGGACGUGCUAAUCUGCGAAAAGCGUCGGUAAGGUGAUAUGAACCGUUACAGCCGGCGAUGUCCGAAUGGGGAAACCCAGUGCAAUUCGUUGCACUAUCGUUAACUGAAUACAUAGGUUAACGAGGCGAACCGGGGGAACUGAAACAUCUAAGUACCCCGAGGAAAAAAAAUCAACCGAGAUUCCCCCAGUAGCGGCGAGCGAACGGGGAGCAGCCCAGAGUCUGAAUCAGCUUGUGUGUUAGUGGAACGGUCUGGAAAGUCCGACGGUACAGGGUGAUAGUCCCGUACACCAAAAUGCACAGGCUGUGAACUCGAAGAGUAGGGCGGGACACGUGGUAUCCUGUCUGAAUAUGGGGGGACCAUCCUCCAAGGCUAAAUACUCCUGACUGACCGAUAGUGAACCAGUACCGUGAGGGAAAGGCGAAAAGAACCCCGGCGAGGGGAGUGAAAAAGAACCUGAAACCGUGUACGUACAAGCAGUGGGAGCACCUUCGGGUGUGACUGCGUACCUUUUGUAUAAUGGGUCAGCGACUUAUAUUCUGUAGCAAGGUUAACCGUAUAGGGGAGCCGCAGGGAAACCGAGUCUUAACUGGGCGUUAAGUUGCAGGGUAUAGACCCGAAACCCGGUGAUCUAGCCAUGGGCAGGUUGAAGGUUGGGUAACACUAACUGGAGGACCGAACCGACUAAUGUUGAAAAAUUAGCGGAUGACUUGUGGCUGGGGGUGAAAGGCCAAUCAAACCGGGAGAUAGCUGGUUCUCCCCGAAAGCUAUUUAGGUAGCGCCUCGUGAAUUCAUCUUCGGGGGUAGAGCACUGUUUCGGCUAGGGGGUCAUCCCGACUUACCAACCCGAUGCAAACUACGAAUACCGAAGAAUGUUAUCACGGGAGACACACGGCGGGUGCUAACGUCCGUCGUGAAGAGGGAAACAACCCAGACCGCCAGCUAAGGUCCCAAAGUCAUGGUUAAGUGGGAAACGAUGUGGGAAGGCACAGACAGCCAGGAUGUUGGCUUAGAAGCAGCCAUCAUUUAAAGAAAGCGUAAUAGCUCACUGGUCGAGUCGGCCUGCGCGGAAGAUGUAACGGGGCUAAACCAUGCACCGAAGCUGCGGCAGCGACACUAUGUGUUGUUGGGUAGGGGAGCGUUCUGUAAGCCUGCGAAGGUGACCUGUGAGGGUUGCUGGAGGUAUCAGAAGUGCGAAUGCUGACAUAAGUAACGAUAAAGCGGGUGAAAAGCCCGCUCGCCGGAAGACCAAGGGUUCCUGUCCAACGUUAAUCGGGGCAGGGUGAGUCGACCCCUAAGGCGAGGCCGAAAGGCGUAGUCGAUGGGAAACAGGUUAAUAUUCCUGUACUUGGUGUUACUGCGAAGGGGGGACGGAGAAGGCUAUGUUAGCCGGGCGACGGUUGUCCCGGUUUAAGCAUGUAGGCUGGUUAUCCAGGCAAAUCCGGAUAAUCAAGGCUGAGGUGUGAUGACGAGGCACUACGGUGCUGAAGUAACAAAUGCCCUGCUUCCAGUGAAAAGCCUCUAAGCAUCAGGUAACAUCAAAUCGUACCCCAAACCGACACAGGUGGUCAGGUAGAGAAUACCAAGGCGCUUGAGAGAACUCGGGUGAAGGAACUAGGCAAAAUGGUGCCGUAACUUCGGGAGAAGGCACGCUGGUGUGUAGGUGAAGUCCCUGCGGAUGGAGCUGAGACCAGUCGAAGAUACCAGCUGGCUGCAACUGUUUAUUAAAAACACAGCACUGUGCAAACACGAAAGUGGACGUAUACGGUGUGACGCCUGCCCGGUGCCGGAAGGUUAAUUGAUGGGGUUAUCCGUAAGGAGAAGCUCUUGAUCGAAGCCCCGGUAAACGGCGGCCGUAACUAUAACGGUCCUAAGGUAGCGAAAUUCCUUGUCGGGUAAGUUCCGACCUGCACGAAUGGCGUAAUGAUGGCCAGGCUGUCUCCACCCGAGACUCAGUGAAAUUGAACUCGCUGUGAAGAUGCAGUGUACCCGCGGCAAGACGGAAAGACCCCGUGAACCUUUACUAUAGCUUGACACUGAACAUUGAGCCUUGAUGUGUAGGAUAGGUGGGAGGCUUUGAAGCGUGGACGCCAGUCUGCGUGGAGCCAACCUUGAAAUACCACCCUUUAAUGUUUGAUGUUCUAACGUUGGCCCCUGACCGGGGUUGCGGACAGUGUCUGGUGGGUAGUUUGACUGGGGCGGUCUCCUCCCAAAGCGUAACGGAGGAGCACGAAGGUUAGCUAAUCCUGGUCGGACAUCAGGAGGUUAGUGCAAUGGCAUAAGCUAGCUUGACUGCGAGCGUGACGGCGCGAGCAGGUGCGAAAGCAGGUCAUAGUGAUCCGGUGGUUCUGAAUGGAAGGGCCAUCGCUCAACGGAUAAAAGGUACUCCGGGGAUAACAGGCUGAUACCGCCCAAGAGUUCAUAUCGACGGCGGUGUUUGGCACCUCGAUGUCGGCUCAUCACAUCCUGGGGCUGAAGUAGGUCCCAAGGGUAUGGCUGUUCGCCAUUUAAAGUGGUACGCGAGCUGGGUUUAGAACGUCGUGAGACAGUUCGGUCCCUAUUCGCCGUGGGCGCUGGAGAAUUGAGGGGGGCUGCUCCUAGUACGAGAGGACCGGAGUGGACGCAUCACUGGUGUUCGGGUUGUCAUGCCAAUGGCACUGCCCGGUAGCUAAAUGCGGAAGAGAUAAGUGCUGAAAGCAUCUAAGCACGAAACUUGCCCCGAGAUGAGUUCUCCCUGAGACUUUAAGUCUCCUGAAGGAACGUUAAAGACGAUGACGUUGAUAGGCCGGGUGUGUAAGCGCAGCGAUGCGUUGAGCUAACCGGUACUAAUGAACCGUGAGGCUUAACCUU